AUGAACGCUGGCGGCGUGCCUAAUCCAUGCAAGUCGAGCGAACGGACGAGAAGCUUGCUUCUCUGAUGUUAGCGGCGGACGGGUGAGUAACACGUGGAUAACCUACCUAUAAGACUGGGAUAACUUCGGGAAACCGGAGCUAAUACCGGAUAAUAUUUUGAACCGCAUGGUUCAAAAGUGAAAGACGGUCUUGCUGUCACUUAUAGAUGGAUCCGCGCUGCAUUAGCUAGUUGGUAAGGUACGGCUUACCAAGGCAACGAUGCAUAGCCGACCUGAGAGGGUGAUCGGCCACACUGGAACUGAGACACGGUCCAGACUCCUACGGGAGGCAGCAGUAGGGAAUCUUCCGCAAUGGGCGAAAGCCUGACGGAGCAACGCCGCGUGAGUGAUGAAGGUCUUCGGAUCGUAAAACUCUGUUAUUAGGGAAGAACAUAUGUGUAAGUAACUGUGCACAUCUUGACGGUACCUAAUCAGAAAGCCACGGCUAACUACGUG
RNAcentral lists this ribosomal RNA (495 nucleotides) under uncultured bacterium. RNAcentral describes it as "partial 16S ribosomal RNA". It matches the Rfam family "Bacterial small subunit ribosomal RNA", at positions 29 to 507 of the family's 1533-position model. The record is from RNAcentral.